GAUGAACGCUGGCGGCGUGCCUAAUACAUGCAAGUCGAGCGAACGGACGAGAAGCUUGCUUUUCUGAUGUUAGCGGCGGACGGGUGAGUAACACGUGGAUAACCUACCUAUAAGACUGGGAUAACUUCGGGAAACCGGAGCUAAUACCGGAUAAUAUUUUGAACCGCAUGGUUCAAAAGUGAAAGACGGUCUUGCUGUCACUUAUAGAUGGAUCCGCGCUGCAUUAGCUAGUUGGUAAGGUAACGGCUUACCAAGGCAACGAUGCAUAGCCGACCUGAGAGGGUGAUCGGCCACACUGGAACUGAGACACGGUCCAGACUCCUACGGGAGGCAGCAGUAGGGAAUCUUCCGCAAUGGGCGAAAGCCUGACGGAGCAACGCCGCGUGAGUGAUGAAGGUCUUCGGAUCGUAAAACUCUGUUAUUAGGGAAGAACAUAUGUGUAAGUGACUGUGCACAUCUUGACGGUACCUAAUCAGAAAGCCACGGCUAACUACGUG
Molecule: ribosomal RNA, 497 nt
Filed under: uncultured bacterium
Lineage: Bacteria
Description: partial 16S ribosomal RNA
Rfam family: Bacterial small subunit ribosomal RNA
Source: RNAcentral